ACCCGCUGAACUUAAGCAUAUUAAUAAGCGGAGGAAAAGAAACUAACAAGGAUUCCCCUAGUAACUGCGAGUGAAGAGGGAAGAGCUCAAAUUUGUAAUCUGGCAGGUUACGCCUGUCCGAGUUGUAAUUUGAAGAAGCGUUUUCUGCGCUGUCGAUGGCACAAGUCCCUUGGAAAAGGGCCGCAGAGAGGGUGAAACGCCCGUCUUUGUCAAAGACAGUCGCUUUACGAUGCGCUUUCUAAGAGUCGGGUUGUUUGGGAAUGCAGCCCAAAGACGGUGGUAAAUUCCAUCUAAAGCUAAAUAUAAGCAAGAGUCCGAUAGCAAACAAGUACCGUGAGGGAAAGAUGAAAAGGACUUUGAAAAGAGAGUUAAAUAGUACGUGAAACUGUUGAAAGGGAAACGCUUGAAACCAGAGGGAUGCGCUGUGAAAUCAGUCGUGCAAUAUUGCGCGGUGCUCUUUUACAGCGCUCAGCCAACAUCGGUUUGAGCAGCCGGAAAUUGGCCAGUGGAAGGUAGCUUGUCUUUCGGGGCAAGUAUUAUAGCCACGGUUGGUGCGGCUAAUUGGACCGAGGGAAGCGGCGUGAGCUUGCUGCCGGCUUGGUGUUAUUGAAGCGAAGGCUUUACAGACAGUCUGACUGAUUGUGGAGCAGUAGCGGCAAUGCAUUAGGUGCAGGACAUUCACGUCAAGGUUGUUGGCGAGUUGGUUUUAAACGACCCGUCUUGAAACACGG
This 731-nucleotide ribosomal RNA is filed under the name uncultured fungus. RNAcentral describes it as "LSU rRNA". It matches the Rfam family "Eukaryotic large subunit ribosomal RNA", at positions 23 to 664 of the family's 3401-position model. Lineage: Eukaryota; Fungi. The record is from RNAcentral.